UAGAGGUAUAUUCUGAAUCUGCUGUGGCGA
This 30-nucleotide non-coding RNA is filed under the name Homo sapiens (human). Lineage: Eukaryota; Metazoa; Chordata; Mammalia; Primates; Hominidae. The record is from RNAcentral.